AUGGUGCCACUCGCGCACUGCGGUUCUGGCCGCGAUGCCCGCAGCCACCUGACAACCGCGCGCUACGUCUUGUUAGCC
RNAcentral lists this small RNA (78 nucleotides) under Xanthomonas cannabis. RNAcentral's name for it is "sRNA sX9". It matches the Rfam family "Xanthomonas sRNA sX9". The record is from RNAcentral. Lineage: Bacteria; Pseudomonadati; Pseudomonadota; Gammaproteobacteria; Lysobacterales; Lysobacteraceae.